Molecule: non-coding RNA, 109 nt
Organism: Acanthosepion pharaonis
Lineage: Eukaryota; Metazoa; Mollusca; Cephalopoda; Sepiida; Sepiidae
Source: the annotation of a GenBank genome assembly
UACGACCAUAUAGCGUUGAAGCACCCUUUCCCGUACGAUCACCGCUUAAGCAACGUCAAGCCUGGUCAGUACUUAGAUGGGUGACCGUCUGGGAAACACCAUGUGCUGU